This 254-nucleotide ribosomal RNA is filed under the name uncultured bacterium. RNAcentral's name for it is "partial 16S ribosomal RNA". It matches the Rfam family "Bacterial small subunit ribosomal RNA", at positions 524 to 776 of the family's 1533-position model. The record is from RNAcentral.
UACGUAGGGUGCGAGCGUUGUCCGGAAUUAUUGGGCGUAAAGAGCUUGUAGGCGGUUUGUCGCGUCUGCUGUGAAAAUCCGGGGCUCAACCCCGGACUUGCAGUGGGUACGGGCAGACUAGAGUGUGGUAGGGGAGACUGGAAUUCCUGGUGUAGCGGUGAAAUGCGCAGAUAUCAGGAGGAACACCGGUGGCGAAGGCGGGUCUCUGGGCCGAUACUGACACUGGAGGAGCGAAAGCGUGGGGAGCGAACAGG